Molecule: long non-coding RNA, 454 nt
Filed under: Equus asinus (donkey)
Lineage: Eukaryota; Metazoa; Chordata; Mammalia; Perissodactyla; Equidae
Description: lncRNA (ENSEASG00005036307.1)
Source: RNAcentral
GAAAACUAUGCAACAGGGAUCAUGCCCACCAGAAGCAGUUUGUGUUCAGCUGGCAAGGCUAUCACCUUCAUUGUCCUAUCUCAAAGAUUUUCUGGUCAGUGGAGUUGGAAUGAGAAAAAUCAAUCAGUGCCCUACCAAUGCAUCAUCCAGCAAGACUAAGAAAUCCUCAACUACUGGGACAAGGUGGGAGAAUAUUUCAUUUCUUUACCAGUGUCUGUCCUCUGGCUCAGUGACUCCCAGAACUUGACUCAUCAGAAAACCAGGGAUCCAUGACUCAAUGAGUGAAUACCAUCUUGUCCUGAGUUCCCACAUGCCAUCAUGAUGACCAUCCUAUGCAAUUUGGAAUUUUGGCCCUAAAUGAUCUUUCUCAACAAAUCAGAUGUAGUACAACAUGAAGAAAUGGGAGUUUACCAAGAAAAUUGUGGAACACAAAUACCAGAGACCUGGGUCCUCA